This 72-nucleotide non-coding RNA is filed under the name Firmicutes bacterium CAG:345. RNAcentral's name for it is "Fluoride riboswitch aptamer (crcB RNA motif)". It matches the Rfam family "Fluoride riboswitch aptamer (crcB RNA motif)". Lineage: Bacteria; Bacillati; Bacillota. RNAcentral also lists the same sequence under 1 other name. The record is from Rfam by way of RNAcentral.
AAUAUCUAUGGAAAUGAUGUCUUCCAUCUAGUGAUAGAGAACUGCAAUAUUGCUGAUGACGUCUAUAGUUUU